Molecule: ribosomal RNA, 533 nt
Filed under: Fusarium oxysporum
Lineage: Eukaryota; Fungi; Ascomycota; Sordariomycetes; Hypocreales; Nectriaceae
Description: eukaryotic LSU rRNA
Rfam family: 5.8S ribosomal RNA (bases 179-332)
Source: RNAcentral
CCCGUAGGGUAACCUGCGGAGGGAUCAUUACCGAGUUUACAACUCCCAAACCCCUGUGAACAUACCAAUUGUUGCCUCGGCGGAUCAGCCCGCUCCCGGUAAAACGGGACGGCCCGCCAGAGGACCCCUAAACUCUGUUUCUAUAUGUAACUUCUGAGUAAAACCAUAAAUAAAUCAAAACUUUCAACAACGGAUCUCUUGGUUCUGGCAUCGAUGAAGAACGCAGCAAAAUGCGAUAAGUAAUGUGAAUUGCAGAAUUCAGUGAAUCAUCGAAUCUUUGAACGCACAUUGCGCCCGCCAGUAUUCUGGCGGGCAUGCCUGUUCGAGCGUCAUUUCAACCCUCAAGCCCCCGGGUUUGGUGUUGGGGAUCGGCGAGCCCUUGCGGCAAGCCGGCCCCGAAAUCUAGUGGCGGUCUCGCUGCAGCUUCCAUUGCGUAGUAGUAAAACCCUCGCAACUGGUACGCGGCGCGGCCAAGCCGUUAAACCCCGAACUUCUGAAUGUGACCUCGGAUCAGGUAGGAAACCCAAUUUCCA